RNAcentral lists this ribosomal RNA (406 nucleotides) under uncultured bacterium. RNAcentral's name for it is "partial 16S ribosomal RNA". It matches the Rfam family "Bacterial small subunit ribosomal RNA", at positions 30 to 526 of the family's 1533-position model. The record is from RNAcentral.
AUUGAACGCUGGCGGCAGGCUUAACACAUGCAAGUCGAGCGAGCGGCGGACGGGUGAGUAAUGUCUGGGAAACUGCCUGAUGGAGGGGGUUAACUACUGGAAACGGUAGCUAAUACCGCAUACCAUCAGAUGUGCCCAGAGGGGUUUAGCUAGUAGGUGGGGUAAUGGGUCACCUAGGCGACGAUCCCUAGCUGGUCUGAGAGGAUGACCAGCCACCCUGGAAAUGGGACACGGUCCAGACUCCUACGUGAGGCAGCAGUGGGGAAUAGUGCACAAUGGGCGAAAGCCUGAUGCAGCCAUGCCGCGUGUAUGAAGAAGGCCUACGGGUUGUAAAGUGCUAUCAGCGGGGAGGCGUUACCCGCAGAAGAAGCACCGGCUAACUCCGUGCCAGCAGCCGCGGUAAUAC